This 162-nucleotide microRNA precursor is filed under the name Pelobates cultripes (western spadefoot toad). The record is from RNAcentral. Lineage: Eukaryota; Metazoa; Chordata; Amphibia; Anura; Pelobatidae.
CAGCAGACACAUUCCAGCCAAUCAGCAGCAGACCCUCCCUCCCAGACCCUCCGACUUCCUGGACAGCAUCCAUUGUGAAGCUGCAUUCUUAGUGAGCUGUCCAGGAGGUGGGAGGGUCUGGGAGGGAGGGUCUGCUGCUGAUUGGCUGGAAUGUGUCUGCUG